AUACGGAGGAUGCGAGCGUUAUCCGGAUUUAUUGGGUUUAAAGGGAGCGUAGGUGGGAUAUUAAGUCAGCUGUGAAAGUUUGGGGCUCAACCUUAAAAUUGCAGUUGAUACUGGUUUCCUUGAGUACGGUACAGGUGGGCGGAAUUCGUGGUGUAGCGGUGAAAUGCUUAGAUAUCACGAAGAACUCCGAUCGCGAAGGCAGCUCACCGGGCCGGAACUGACACUGAUGCUCGAAAGUGCGGGCAUCAAACAGGAUUAGAUACCCUGGUAGUCCGCACAGUAAACGAUGAAUACUCGCUGUUUGCGAUACACUGUAAGCGGCCAAGCGAAAGCGUUAAGUAUUCCACCUGGGGAGUACGCCGGCAACGGUGAAACUCAAAUGAAUUGACGGGG
RNAcentral lists this ribosomal RNA (393 nucleotides) under uncultured bacterium. RNAcentral describes it as "partial 16S ribosomal RNA". It matches the Rfam family "Bacterial small subunit ribosomal RNA", at positions 523 to 918 of the family's 1533-position model. The record is from RNAcentral.